This 465-nucleotide ribosomal RNA is filed under the name uncultured bacterium. Its description in RNAcentral is "partial 16S ribosomal RNA". It matches the Rfam family "Bacterial small subunit ribosomal RNA", at positions 28 to 507 of the family's 1533-position model. The record is from RNAcentral.
GACGAACGCUGGCGGCGUGCUUAACACAUGCAAGUCGUACGGUAAGGCCCUUUCUGGGGUACACGAGUGGCGAACGGGUGAGUAACACGUGAGUAACCUGCCCACAACUUUGUGAUAACUCUAUUAAACUGAUGCGAAUACUGGAUAUGUGCUCCUGCUGCAUGGUGGGUGUUGGAUAGCUCCGGGGGUUGUGGAUGGACUCGCGGCCUAUCAGCUUGUUGGUUGGGUAGGGGCCUACCAAGGCGGCGACGGGUAGCCGGCCUGAGAGGGUGAACGGCCACAUUGGGACUGAGAUAAGGCCCAGACUCCUACGGGAGGCAGCAGGGGGGAAUAUUGCACAAUGGGCGCAAGCCUGAUGCAGCAACGCCGCGGGCGGGAGGACGGCCUUCGGGUUGUAAAACGCUUUCAGCAGGGAAGAAGCUUUUUGUGACGGUACCUGCAGAAGAAGCACCGGCUAACUACGUG